Molecule: long non-coding RNA, 1572 nt
Filed under: Arabidopsis thaliana (thale cress)
Lineage: Eukaryota; Viridiplantae; Streptophyta; Magnoliopsida; Brassicales; Brassicaceae
Description: ncRNA (AT2G19572)
Source: RNAcentral
GCCGAUUUGAUCUAAUCCACAUAAUCCAUCCCUUAUAGACGAAAUUAAAUUUUCAAAGGGGAUAUUAAAAAAAAAUAUCAAAAAAUGGAAAAAUUUAAUAUCAACAAUUUUUUUUUUAACAAUACUCCAUAAACAUAAUAAUUGUAUUAAAUUUAAUUUUUUAAUACAAUAAACAUUUUUAACAAAUUUAAAAAUAUAAACUUUUCUUAUUCUCUAUGUGUUAUCCAUCACAUCAAUUUCAACACUUUUUUUUUUUCCGUCAAUUUCAACACUUUUAAGAAUUAAAAAGUCUCAUUUUCUUUUUAUUCCUUUUUUUUUAAAAUUCCUUUAUUUUUCGGAUAAUUAAAUGAUUCUCUAAGCUUCAUAGCAAUGAAACACUUUGAAUUCGCAUUUCGGCGAUAUAGUCUCUAAUAACAACCUCGCCGUGUGCUCUUGCCUCACCACCGCAUCUUCUUUCUCCACCAGAACCGCUCCGACGAUCCUCUCGUAUCCUCCUCCACCACCAUUAGCCACAUAAUCAACCAACGCCGCCUGUACUGGUCCCAUACUAGGAUUAUACGCCGCCGAUUCCAUAUACCAACCUCUGUACACUUUCCCGUCACAAUCCACCAGCGAAACUCCCGAUGGACAUAAACUAUACGGCGCGUACGAUCUAUUCGCCGCCGCUAAAGCCGUUUGUUUCAAAUCGGCGGAUGAAUCGGUGUUUCCGUUACAAAUCGAAUCCAGAUCUGAGAUUUUGAGAUGGUUAUCGUGAGAUUCGAGAAGAAGAGGAUGAUCUUUCCCGAGAAGAUCGUCGGGACCGAAUCUGUGUGGCAAGAAGCUUCCGAGACGUAAGAAUCCGUCUGAAUCGGCGGCGGAAUCGGAAUCGGCGGAGUUGUUUGGAUCGGUGAUAAGGAUUUUGAUUUCAGGUGCGUCGCGAAUUUCUUGGAGGAAUUGACGGCAAUGGCCACAUGGUGCGGCGGAGACGGCGAAGAAAUUGAGAUGACGUUCACCGUUGAGUGUGAGAUUGGUGACGAGGAACUGUUCGGCGUGGAUUGAGUGGUGGAGAGGGAGAUUUGGGAAUUCGACAUUGACGCCUAAGAAGAUCCGACCUGAUGAUCCGAGUCCGACGACUGCGACGUUGAAUUUCGAAAUCGGAGUUCGAGCGUAGGAUUGUGCUGGUUUGACUAGCGACGGGAGGAGCUGAAUGACGGAAACGCCGAGUUGUUUCGCGGCGGAUUCUGCUUCUUUGGAUUGGAUUACGAAGCUUGGCUUAUCCAUUGCGGGUUGAUCCGGUUUGGGUCGCGUAAAUGGGUCGGGUUAUUUUUAGAUGGGAGAGAUCCGGGAAAUGAGGAAUUAUGAAAUGGAUGCUGGACAAACAAACUAUUUAUAGAUACAACAACGUAGGAAACUACAUUACGCAAAUGAAGUUUUGGUUCGGUUUCGGUUAUGUUUCGGUUUACGUUUGGUACAAAAUAGAAAAAUUAUAUCAGAAUUGAAUUUACAAAUAAUAUGAUUUCGGUUUGACUAAGCCGCAUGGAAUCAUUGUUAUGAAAACUACCAAAAAUGCAAUAGAGUAUUAGUGUAACGUAA